CCUACGGGGGACUGCAGUGAGGAAUAUUGGUCAAUGGGCGUAAGCCUGAACCAGCCAAGUCGCGUGAGGGAUGAAGGUUCUAUGGAUCGUAAACCUCUUUUAUAAGGGAAUAAAGUGCGGGACGUGUCCCGUUUUGUAUGUACCUUAUGAAUAAGGAUCGGCUAACUCCGUGCCAGCAGCCGCGGUAAUACGGAGGAUCCGAGCGUUAUCCGGAUUUAUUGGGUUUAAAGGGUGCGUAGGCGGCCUUUUAAGUCAGCGGGGAAAGUCUGUGGCUCAACAAUAGAAUUGCCGUUGAAACUGGGAGGCUUGAGUAUGUUUGAGGCAGGCGGAAUGCGGGGUGUAGCGGUGAAAUGCUUAGAUAUCACGCAGAACCCGGAUUGCGAAGGCAGCCUGCCAAGCCAUGACUGACGCUGAUGCACGAAAGCGUGGGGAUCAAACAGGAUUAGAUACCCCGUGUAGUC
RNAcentral lists this ribosomal RNA (461 nucleotides) under uncultured bacterium. RNAcentral describes it as "partial 16S ribosomal RNA". It matches the Rfam family "Bacterial small subunit ribosomal RNA", at positions 338 to 795 of the family's 1533-position model. The record is from RNAcentral.